UGGACUGCAAGAAUCCAAGGACAGCGUUUUGAACAGAUUUAAAUUACAGGAUUUCAUUAGAGUUUGAUCCUAAGCAGGAGCAACAAAAGAGCACAUUGUACCAGCCAGACACCGACCAAGCGUUUCUUUUUUUUAAAUGGGCAAUGUGCACAAAGGGUUACCACCCGACGGCGGAAAAAAAAAAAUCAUAAAAAGGGGGCCUCUCGCUGCAGCCACAGAGGAGGUACCAUAUAACCAUAAGGAGAGUAAAUUUAGAACGGGAGGCCUACUGCAUUCGAGGGAUUCCAGACAUUCCAGCCUUCACAUUGCUGCGGCGCGGGGCUGCCAUCUUAAAUAGCCACCGCCGGUAAACAAGGUCAUGACAUCACAUAGGCCGAGUCGACAAUGUCAAGGACGGGCUUGCAGGAAUGCCAAAAUUAGUUCCCAAAGGAGGGGAUCGAGUGAGAGAAGAAACACUCGACACGCAGAAUUUCAGGAGCAAUACAAAAGCGAAGGGGGAAAAAAGUGUUUACAAAAUCUGAAGUGCUUGGCAAUACAAUGUUUGUCUGGACAAGAAACACCACAUUGCAUUCAUCUGGAGAUAUUUCAUUUAAAAGCAUCAGCAGAAUUGAGAGUCUUCCAAAAACACCAAUAUCAUCGUUAGAAAUGUUUGACUUUCGUAAGUGGCCGAUAGAAGGGGAAAAGAAAGAGUGAUCGGACUCCAGCACAUUUAGCCACGAGCAGUGAGAGGAACUAAUGAACAACAUCAUUACUUUAUUGAAGGAGAUGAAGGAGCUGCUUUAGAUCAAUGGCUGCAGCUUAAAACGUGGUUCAGGAAAUAAAUUCACCUUCUCUCAAUUUACCUGCUAGCUUGACAAGCGAAGACAGAGCAUGAGAAAAAGCAGUGCAAAUGCUAACUGAGGUGAUGCCGUCGGCCCGCAUCCAAGGGAGUGUGUGAACAAAGAUUCUUGGACGCGCUCCUAGUCAAAUAUAAACCAGGAACACUCCUCACUCCAGUCUCUCUUGCAAAUCCGCUGUCGAGCGUGCGCAAAGACCCACCUGUCUCAAAGUCAAAUCUAUUCCCAAGAAUCAAACACUGGCUUGUUUAUGACUUGGUCACUACUGCACUGUGAUCUCUAAUUUCGUUUGUCUUAGAGCAAGAGAAACGUACCACC
This is a long non-coding RNA of Gavialis gangeticus (Gharial), 1154 nucleotides long. RefSeq lists it as uncharacterized. The transcript is spliced from 2 exons. The record is from RefSeq and is a predicted model, not a curated record. NCBI's taxonomy places the organism in Eukaryota, Metazoa, Chordata, Crocodylia, Gavialidae.